CCGCACAAGCGAGGAGCAUGUGGUUUAAUUCGAUGAUACGCGAGGAACCUUACCUGGGCUCGAACGUAAGAUGACUGUAGGUGAAAGCUUACAUCUCUUCGGAGCAUUUUACGAGGUGCUGCAUGGUUGUCGUCAGCUCGUGCCGUGAGGUGUCGGGUUAAGUCCCAUAACGAGCGCAACCCCUACCUUUAGUUGCCAUCAGGUUAAGCUGGGGACUCUAAAGGAACUGCCUACGCAAGUAGUGAGGAAGGCGGGGAUGACGUCAAAUCAGCACGGCCCUUACGUCCAGGGCUACACACGUGCUACAAUGGCCGAUACAGAGGGCAGCUACCUGGUGACAGGAUGCAAAUCUCCAAAGUCGGUCUCAGUUCGGAUCGGAGUCUGCAACCCGGCUCCGUGAAGUUGGAUUCGCUAGUAAUCGCGCAUCAGCCAUGGCGCGGUGAAUACGUUCCCGGGCCUU
Molecule: ribosomal RNA, 460 nt
Filed under: uncultured Sphingobacteriales bacterium
Lineage: Bacteria; Pseudomonadati; Bacteroidota; Sphingobacteriia; Sphingobacteriales
Description: bacterial SSU rRNA
Rfam family: Bacterial small subunit ribosomal RNA
Source: RNAcentral